UAGUCUUCUCUCUCUCUCUCAAAACCCUAGUCCCCUCUCUUUCUAUCUCCUCGGCCCUCUGCUGCAACAGCAGGUAUCUCUCACUCCGCUCGAUCUACCGCACAUCAAGGAGCAUUCUACUGCAACAUCAGGUUUCUACUCUAGAUUGAAAGACGAAGCACGAUUUUUCAUACUUGACCAUCUUGAUGAUCUCAAGAAAGCCAAGAAGGAUGCUGCUCUUUCUAGUGAUGAAGUAAAGGUUAUGGCCUUUGAUGAGGAAAUUCAUCCAAUGGAGAUAUAUGUGGAUGAUGAGGCCAAGUUGACCCUGCAUGGUCUCGUACAGGUACUCGAUGGUUUCUGAAAUGUGCAUUGAGUUCUCUUAUUACCUUUUGUUUUCUUGUCUUUUUUGUAAUUGCUCCGCACUUCUUUUCUGACCAUAUAUGUGGAUGCUUGCUUCUGAGGUGGGAGUAACUAAUGUAUCUUUUCUUUUAUUUGCACAUAAAUGGUGAGCCUAUGGCAUGACUUGUCAUGAAAGUGUAUUAUUCUGUUUCUGCAAUUGGUUGAAAAAAAAAAACAACACUAAGAUAUGAUGGUUUUUAAUGGUUAUGGAUGAAAAACCUUGUUCAACAUACACAUAGUUGUGAUUUUUAUUUUUUUAUUUU
This is an RNA transcript of Magnolia sinica, 641 nucleotides long. RefSeq lists it as uncharacterized. NCBI's taxonomy places the organism in Eukaryota, Viridiplantae, Streptophyta, Magnoliopsida, Magnoliales, Magnoliaceae. The record is from RefSeq and is a predicted model, not a curated record. The transcript has 4 exons.